CUCCAUUCUUCACAUGUACACUUAACAAGCACAAAUUUUACCAUUCAUUUAACAAAUUUUACCAUUCAUUUAAUGAAAAUGGGGGAGGGAGCAAGAUUUGGAUGAAUAAUCACACCUCUAAUUGACACACUUUGCACUUGUUUACCACUAAUAAAGCAACACCCUUCAACCCAAAACCAUUCCCAUCUACCCUUCUCUCUAUCUUCUCUCCAAACUACCAUUCCUGACCCAAGGUCCCUGUACAAACAAAUUGCCCCAUCACCG
RNAcentral lists this unclassified non-coding RNA (264 nucleotides) under Hevea brasiliensis (rubber tree). Lineage: Eukaryota; Viridiplantae; Streptophyta; Magnoliopsida; Malpighiales; Euphorbiaceae. The record is from RNAcentral.